GAUGAACGCUAGCGGCAGGCUUAAUACAUGCAAGUCGAGGGGCAGCAGGUCUGUAGCAAUACAGAUGCUGGCGACCGGCAAACGGGUGCGGAACACGUACGCAACCUUCCUUUAAGUGUGGGAUAGCCCGGGGAAACCCGGAUUAAUACCACGUAACAUCAUGAAGCGGCAUCGUUUUAUGAUUAUAGUUCCGACGCUUAAAGAUGGGCGUGCGCCUGAUUAGGUAGUUGGCGGGGUAACGGCCCACCAAGCCUACGAUCAGUAACUGGUGUGAGAGCACGACCAGUCACACGGGCACUGAGACACGGGCCCGACUCCUACGGGAGGCAGCAGUAAGGAAUAUUGGUCAAUGGACGCAAGUCUGAACCAGCCAUGCCGCGUGGAGGAUGAAGGUCCUCUGGAUUGUAAACUUCUUUUUAUCUGGGAAGAAACCCACUGAAUCUUCGGUGGUUGACGGUACCAGGUGAAUAAGCACCGGCUAACUCCGUGCCAGCAGCCGCGGUAAUACGGAGGGUGCAAGCGUUAUCCGGAUUCACUGGGUUUAAAAGGGUGCGUAGGUGGGUUGGUAAGUCAGUGGUGAAAAUCUCCGAGCUUAACUCGGAAACUGCCGUUGAUACUAUCAAUCUUGAAUGUUGUGGAGGUAAGCGGAAUAUGUCAUGUAGCGGUGAAAUGCUUAGAUAUGACAUAGAACACCGAUAGCGAAGGCAGCUUGCUACACAAUUAUUGACACUGAGGCACGAAAAGCGUGGGGAUCAAACAGGAUUAGAUACCCUGGUA
Molecule: ribosomal RNA, 777 nt
Filed under: uncultured bacterium
Lineage: Bacteria
Description: bacterial SSU rRNA
Rfam family: Bacterial small subunit ribosomal RNA
Source: RNAcentral